UACGUAGGGGGCAAGCGUUGUCCGGAAUCAUUGGGCGUAAAGCGCGUGUAGGUGGUUCGAUAAGUCUGCUGUGAAAGUCGGGGGCUCAACCCUCGAAAGCCGGUGGAUACUGUCGGGCUAGAGUGCGGAAGAGGCGAGUGGAAUUCCCGGUGUAGCGGUGAAAUGCGCAGAUAUCGGGAGGAACACCAAUGGCGAAGGCAGCUCGCUGGGACGGUACUGACGCUGAGACGCGAAAGCGUGGGGAGCAAACAGG
This 253-nucleotide ribosomal RNA is filed under the name uncultured bacterium. RNAcentral's name for it is "partial 16S ribosomal RNA". It matches the Rfam family "Bacterial small subunit ribosomal RNA", at positions 524 to 776 of the family's 1533-position model. The record is from RNAcentral.